GGGCGAGUGGCGGAAUUGGCAGACGCGACGGACUUAGGAUCCGUUGGGUAACCCCCGUGGAGGUUCAAAUCCUCUCUCGCCCA
Molecule: transfer RNA, 83 nt
Filed under: Candidatus Margulisiibacteriota bacterium
Lineage: Bacteria; Bacillati; Candidatus Margulisiibacteriota
Description: Candidatus Margulisbacteria bacterium (hot springs metagenome) tRNA-Leu
Rfam family: tRNA
About the family: Transfer RNA (tRNA) molecules are approximately 80 nucleotides in length.
Source: RNAcentral